GAUCCUGGCUUAGGAUAAACGCUGGCGGCAUGCCUAAUACAUGCAAGUCGAACGGAGUUACCUUCGGGUAACUUAGUGGCGAACGGGUGAGUAACACGUAGGUAAUCCAUCCCAAGGACGAGGAUAGCUUCUGGAAACGGAAGGUAAAACUGGAUAGUUAAUUAGAGGGCAUCCUCUAAUUAUUAAAAGAGCAAUCUACCCUGGGAAGAGCCUGCGGCGCAUUAGCUAGUUGGUGAGGUAAUGGCCCACCAAGGCGAUGAUGCGUAGCCGGACUGAGAGGUCGACCGGCCACAUUGGGACUGAGACACGGCCCAGACUCCUACGGGAGGCAGCAGUAGGGAAUUUUCGGCAAUGGGCGGAAGCCUGACCGAGCAAUGCCGCGUGAAUGAUGAAGUAUUUCGGUAUGUAAAGUUCUUUUAACAGGGACGAAAAAACAAAUUGACGGUACCUGUUGAAUAAGCUCCGGCUAACUACGUGCCAGCCGCCGC
Molecule: ribosomal RNA, 488 nt
Filed under: uncultured bacterium
Lineage: Bacteria
Description: bacterial SSU rRNA
Rfam family: Bacterial small subunit ribosomal RNA
Source: RNAcentral